AGAGUUUGAUCAUGGCUCAGGAUGAACGCUGGCUGUGUGCCUAAUACAUGCAUGUCGAGCGAAGCACUUCGGUGCUUAGCGGCGAAUGGGUGAGUAACACGUACUUAACCUACCCCCAAGAUUGGGACAACACCUAGAAACGGGCGCUAAUACCAAAUACGUAUUUUUAUCGCAUGAUAGAAAUAUAAAAGGAGCUUCGGCUUCACUAGGGGAUGGGAGUGCGCUACAUUAGUUAGUUGGUAGGGUAAUGGCCUACCAAGACUAUGAUGUAUAGCGGGGCCGAGAGGCUGAUCCGCCACACUGGGACUGAGAUACGGCCCAGACUCCUACGGGAGGCAGCAGUAGGGAAUUUUCCACAAUGAACGAAAGUUUGAUGGAGCGACACAGCGUGCAGGAUGAAGGUCUUCGGAUCGUAAACUGCUGUUAUAAGAGAAGAAAAAAUUUGGGAGGUAAUGCCCAAAUCUUGACGGUACCUUAUCAGAAAGCGACGGCUAACUAUGUGCCAGCAGCCGCGGUAAU
RNAcentral lists this ribosomal RNA (519 nucleotides) under uncultured bacterium. RNAcentral's name for it is "bacterial SSU rRNA". It matches the Rfam family "Bacterial small subunit ribosomal RNA", at positions 8 to 524 of the family's 1533-position model. The record is from RNAcentral.